CUGAAAGCGGUUAGACACCGUUACUUCAAGUGAUGCCGCCUCUGUGAAUUGUGUACGCCCUUUUCUACGUCUACGACCUACGUUCACCCAGCUCUCUCGACCUACCUGUUCAUCAUUCUCCUCCCUCCCCGCUUGUGACGUACAGUACACACAGUCUCCCUAGAAGGCGUAUUAACAGAGUAAGUAUCCCAGGACAAGGAUUUUUAGGACAAGAUGAGCAUCUUGGCUCCUUUCAUGAGAAACAAGUUAUAUAAGUGAUCAGUAAAAAAACAUGUUUAUGCUGUUCAGCCUUGGCACAAUAAUAUUACGGGUGAAUCAUGGAUGACGUAUGUGAAUCUCAGGAUGAUUAGUCCAUACACGGUCAGAAUCAAUCCACACCUCAGUCAUCUCAUGUGUAUGACAGUAGGCCUAACAGGAGGACAAUGAUUUAUUUUAGGCGACGUAAUUGUCUGCAAGUUUGUCCCAAUACACUGAAUACUAGGUGAACAUCGACUUUUAAGACUCCAAAGUGAACACGUACUUUUAUAAUGAAUUAAAGGUGCAUUUAUGUCAAUGGAAACGACUACGUCUAUUUAUUAGUCCUUCUCAGGCAUUGUUUUCGGGUUACCUCAAAAAUCGGCUUAAGAUGGGACUCUCGGAACCGAUUAAUAAUGUAAGGUGGGGUGUGACCAGGGGCGCCGUAAGGGGGAGGAAAGCUAGGACGAUUCCAAGGGCCCCUGAGUGACAGGGGCCCUAAAAAAUUAGGAAAAUAACUGGAUUGGUUUGGACUGGGGGGCCUAAUAUGAUAUGCUUUCAUGGGGCCCAAAAUCUCUAGCGGCGCCCCUGGGUGUGACAGUACCUUUUACAUUCCUGCCAAAACUAAUGGCUGUGUGUGUGAAUUUCAAACUAGGUGGGCUCUGCCUCCUCAACUCACUUGUUUUCUUUCUUUCAUUGGUUUAUUUAAUUGUCACCGGCUGACAAUAUGCGCCCGUAUACGUGAAGAACUGAAGAAUAACGACAGAACGACGUUUUGCAGUGGUAAGCUAACAAAUAAUUUCCCUCAAACUGGACCGUUUGGUGUUAGAAAAUAUUGCUAUUGUUUGUAACCAAGAAUAUAUUUUGCAGUUAAAAAUAACGCUGACUGACCGGAGGAUAUUUAGCCUGGUGGGUGUGCUGAAGUUUUUUUUCCGUGCUGUUUUUUCAUGUGCAUAGAGGGUAUUUAAAUUGGCAGCUUUAAUUGCUGUCGCUAUAGCUAGAUAAGAAUGAUUACCUGCCAUUACUGCAGCAAAACACUACAGACGUUAAGGCGUUACGUGCUCCUCUGUAGAAUUCACAGGAACGAACCACAUUGUUUUUUUAAAUGCCACGUCACUGACAUUUUGCACUUAUACAGCUUUUAAAGCACAUUUCUAUCGGGUUCACAAUGUGCCUGCACCCUCUGUCACUCCUGUAGGAAAUUUUAAAUGUGCCAUUUCGCAGUGGAGGCGCAACCUGUGCCAUGUCCAGUAACUGGUUGUAAAAAUACAUUCACCGUUAAAUCAUCCUUUACUGCCCACAUGUUAAGGAAACAUAGAGAAUGUUCGGUAAAUAGCAUAAGUGACAUGUACAGAGAAAUUAUUUCAGUCUUCUGGAACUCCAUGUGAAGAGGCUUCCCACAACUCUGAUAGCAUUGAAGGCGCUGAAUUGACACAGAAUUUCAGCUAAACCUUUCUUAGGAAUUAUUGAAGAGAUGCAAAAUGUGAAUGAUUUUGGGCAGGAUUACACUUUAAGUAUACUACAUUCACUCUUUAACAAUGACAUGAGCCUAAAUGAAUUACAAUAGGAAAUGAUGAAAAUAUGACAGAAAGGUUUGCUUACUACAUACCUGUGAUGCAAACAUUGAAUGGUUUAUUAAAAUCAGAAUUGUGGAAAAAUUCUGUUUCCCAACCAUCUCGUGAAACAGACUCGUAUGUUUUAAGUCAUAUAAGUGAGGGACAAAGCUUUAAGUCCAACCAGUUCUUCAUUGAAAAUCCAGGAUUCAUGAAGCUAAUUCUAUACCAGGAUGCUUUUGAAAUUAAACCCCUUGGCUCUGCUAAGAAAACACACAAAGUUGUUGCAGUCUUUCUUUGACUCUUUAUUUGACUCUUUCUGUAGCAAAUGUACCUGUUCAUGUACGGUCCAGUACUGAUCACAUGUCCCUUGUCUUAACGUGUAGAGAGAAUGACCUGAAAGACUUUAGAAGUGCUAAGGUUUUCUCAGAAAUGUUAGUGGAUUUGAAAGAUUUGGAGGAAAAUGGAAUAACUCUAGGUGGUAAAGCGGUCAAAUGGGCUUUAUAUUGCAUUGCUUCUGAUAAUUUGGGAUCACAUAGCAUUGGUAGACUUACUGAGAACUUCAGUCGUUUUCAGUACUUUUGCAGGUACUGUGAAGUCACAUAAAGACAGUUUCAGAGUGAUGACCCAAAUGUUUGUGGUCCCCUGAAAGUUACCAUUCUGCUGUUGGUGAUCUAUACAAGCUGGAGUCAAUCAAGACAUCAAAGGUAUAAUGACAUCAGUUUCAGGCAUCCCUUUCGGCUGGGCCAGGAGGCACUCAGCUUCUGCAAGUCAAAGACAGUUCUACAUUGUACCUCAACUUUUACGGUGACAAAAUUAAACAUGUAGUUAGCGACUUUGGCUUUUCAGAAAUACAAUAUAAAGGUACGUCAUAUAAAAAGGACAUUUCCUUGUUUCAAAAAAUGACUUCAUGGAGUUUCAUGGAGAGCUUUUCAUUAUUCUAAUUCAAAAUAAUGCAGCUGUGUAUUUUGUGAUGGACAUGCAUAAAUCAGUCUAUCUUACUAAAUACCACCUGUACUCAGUAAUAAAACAGAGUACAAGGAUGCAGUGUCUUAAUAUUAAUGACUUGACAGAAUUUUAUCUGUUACCAUCAUACAUUAUUGAUGGGCACCAAGUCAUCCCACUGAAACACAGUGUUUUGUCAAAGUAACCCUCAUUUUGGCCACUUUGCUCUAAAAUGCACAUGUACUGUAUGCUUCUUAGAAAUUACUGGGAAAGUGACCAUAGUUUUUCCUUUUAGAUGUACAGAAAUAAAAGGUGAACUUAUUUCUCACGUUAUAUACUCCAAGUAAUGGUGCCUCUUAUCUCAAUACAGUUUAUGUACAGUCUUGCUUGACUCAAUGUCUUAACUACUUUUUUCAUCUUUCAUUUUUGAUCGCAAACUGAUAUCUUCCUGCAGAAAUGACCGACUUGCAACAAACAUUUCUAUGUGCCGCCAUUACUGAGGUCUUGCCCACCCUUCCAGAUGGCUCAAAAGGCAUUCUAGAGGAGACCUUACAAUCCCUUGGGCUGGAGACAUAUGAUGAUUUUCAAUUUAUUGAGGAAGCUGAUUUGUUGUCAGCCUUGAAACCCAUUCAAGCCCGAAAAGUUCUUGCUGCCUGGAAGCUAAAAUGCCAGAGUCCUGAAUCCAAGGGUUCAUCUGUUCAUCUGGUGGUGCCUCACCAGGACCUUCCCCAGCUUUGCAGUGUCUUUCACCCAGAUAUUCAACCUCUUCAAGCAGCUGUCAAAGUCCUGAUAUAGACUGGGUGGAUACCUUUAUGAUACCAUGGGAGAAAGUACCAGAGGAACUGAUGCAGACAUUUAAGAGAGGGAAACGUCCAAGUCCACGAAUGACGAGCAAGAUGAUAUGGAUUGUCGUUAGUGAGAUGAUGAGACAUACUUCUUACAUAAGCAGAAGGCACUCCACAGAUGAUGCCAAAAAGAUGGUGGCAAAAUAUCCAAAAUCUCUGCAAGACAUAAUAGAGGGGAACAAUACUGGAACAGGCUGUGACACUCUUGUUAAGGAAUUGCAAAGUAGGAUAGAAAAUUUGAAGUGGUCUACAACCCCAAAAAUCAGAAAACAUAAACAUGGUGUCACGCCGGUGGGGCGGGCGAGCAGGAAAGCAGGCAGAUCAGCUGGAUGGAUGGAUAAACAAGGUUUAUUUAGGAAACAGGCAGGACCGGGGAAGCACGACGACUAACAUGUACAAUGACAGAACUGGGGAAUACUGACUGAGACACGGACUAAAUACUCAAGACAAGGUAAAAGGAAUAGGCAACAGGUGAGUACAAUCAGGAAU
Paramormyrops kingsleyae is the source of this 4066-nucleotide non-coding RNA. Lineage: Eukaryota; Metazoa; Chordata; Actinopteri; Osteoglossiformes; Mormyridae. The record is from RefSeq and is a predicted model, not a curated record.